RNAcentral lists this ribosomal RNA (1439 nucleotides) under uncultured bacterium. RNAcentral describes it as "bacterial SSU rRNA". It matches the Rfam family "Bacterial small subunit ribosomal RNA". The record is from RNAcentral.
AGGGUUUGAUCAUGGCUCAGAACGUACGCUGGCGGCACGCCUAAUACAUGCAAGUCGAACGAAGUAGCAAUACUUAGUGGCAGACGGGUGAGUAACAUGUAGGUAUCUUCCCAUUGGUGAGGAAUAACACGAGGAAACUUGUGCUAAUACCUCAUAAGUCUUUACGGAGAAAGCUUUAUGCGCCGAUGGAUGAGCCUGCACUUGAUUAGUUUGUUGGUAGGGUAAUGGCCUACCAAGACAAUGAUCAAUAGCUGAUUUGAGAGGAUGAUCAGCCACAUUGGGACUGAGACACGGCCCAAACUCCUACGGGAGGCAGCAGUAGGGAAUCUUGCACAAUGGGGGAAACCCUGAUGCAGCGAUGCCGCGUGAGUGAAGAAGGCCUUUGGGUUGUAAAGCUCUUUCGUCGGGGAAGAAAAUGACUGUACCCGAAUAAGAAGGUCCGGCUAACUUCGUGCCAGCAGCCGCGGUAAUACGAAGGGACCUAGCGUAGUUCGGAAUUACUGGGCUUAAAGAGUUCGUAGGUGGUUAAAAAAGUUGGUGGUGAAAUCCCAGAGCUUAACUCUGGAACUGCCAUCAAAACUUUUUAGCUAGAGUAUGAUAGAGGAAAGCAGAAUUUCUAGUGUAGAGGUGAAAUUCGUAGAUAUUAGAAAGAAUACCAAUUGCGAAGGCAGCUUUCUGGAUCAUUACUGACACUGAGGAACGAAAGCAUGGGUAGCGAAGAGGAUUAGAUACCCUCGUAGUCCAUGCCGUAAACGAUGUGUGUUAGACGUUGGAAAUUUAUUUUCUGUGUCGCAGCGAAAGCAAUAAACACACCGCCUGGGGAGUACGACCGCAAGGUUAAAACUCAAAUGAAUUGACGGGGACCCGCACAAGUAGUGGAGCAUGUGGUUUAAUUCGAAGAUACGCGCAGAACCUUACCAACACUUGACAUGUUCGUCGCGACUUUAAGAGAUUAAAGUUUUCGGUUCGGCCGGACGAAACACAGGUGCUGCAUGGCUGUCGUCAGCUCGUGUCGUGAGAUGUUGGGUUAAGUCCCGCAACGAGCGCAACCCUCACUUUUAGUUGCCAUCAUUUAGUUGGGCACUCUGAAAGAACUGCCAGUGAUAAGCUGGAGGAAGGUGGGGAUGACGUCAAGUCCUCAUGGCCCUUACGUGUUGGGCUACACACGUGCUACAAUGGCAUUUACAAUAGGAAGCAAGACGGCGACGUUUAGCAAAUCCUAAAAAAAUGCCUCAGUUCGGAUUGUACUCUGCAACUCGAGUACAUGAAGCUGGAAUUACUAGUAAUCGCGGAUCAGCGCGCCGCGGUGAAUACGUUCCCGGGUCUUGUACACACCGCCCGUCACACCAUGGGAGUUGGUUCUACCUUAAGGCAAAGUUUAAUACCUUUGACCACGGUAUAGUCAGCGACUGGGGUGAAGUCGUAACAAGGUAGCCGUA